Molecule: ribosomal RNA, 1550 nt
Filed under: Vorticellides sp.
Lineage: Eukaryota; Ciliophora; Oligohymenophorea; Sessilida; Vorticellidae
Description: SSU rRNA
Rfam family: Eukaryotic small subunit ribosomal RNA
Source: RNAcentral
AGUCAUAUGCUUGUCUCAAAGAUUAAUCCAUGCAUGUGUAAGUAUAAGUAUUGUACAGCGAAACUGCGAAUGGCUCAUUACAUCAGUUAUUAUUUAUUUGAUAAUCGAAAGUUACAUGGAUAACCGUGACAAAUUACAGCUAAUACAUGCAUUCAGACCUGGUCCAAGGGUCGUAAUUAUUAGUAUUAAACCAUUUCCGAAAGGAGUGUGAUGAAUCAUAAUAAUCGAACGAAUCGCCUGGUGUGCGAUAAAUCAUUCAAGUUUCUGCCCUAUCAGCUUUGGAUGGUAGUGUAUUGGACUACCAUGGCAGUCACGGGUAACGGAGAAUUAGGGUUCGAUUCCGGAGAGGGAGCCUGAGAAACGGCUACCACAUCUACGGAAGGCAGCAGGAGCGAAAAUUGCCCAAUCCCGACACGGGGAGGCAGUGACAAGAAAUAACAACUCUAGGUUAUUCUUAGAAGUGUAAUGAGGAUAAUUUACAACCCUUACCGAAAGCAAUUGGAGGGCAAGUCUGGUGCCAGCAGCCGCGGUAAUUCCAGCUCCAAUAGCGUAUAUUAAAGUUGUUGCAGUUAAAAAGCUCGUAGUUGAAGUUCUGGCUGCUCGAUCCUCGAGCUCUGUAGCCGAGGAAUCGACAGUCAUCCGCUUGCAAAUAUAUGUUCGCCUUUAACCGGGCGGCUAUAUGAGUAAGCAUUUUACCUUGAGAAAAACAGAGUGUUCCAGGCAGGUUUGUCCGGAAUGCAUUAGCAUGGAAUAAUAGAAUAUGACUGAAGUCUAUUUAUUGGUUUAAGGCUUUAGUAAUGAUUAAUAGGAACAGUCGGGGGCAUUGGUACUUGUCAGUCAGAGGUGAAAUUCUAGGAUUUGACAAAGACUAACAAAUGCGAAAGCAUUUGCCAAGGAUGUUUUCAUUAAUCAAGAACGAAAGUUAGGGGAUCAAAGACGAUCAGAUACCGUCCUAGUCUUAACUAUAAACUAUACCGACUCGGAUUCAGAUGAAUCAAAAAGUUCAUUUGGGACCGUAGGAGAAAUCAAAGUUUUUGGGUUCUGGGGGAAGUAUGGUCGCAAGGCUGAAACUUAAAGGAAUUGACGGUUUUGCACCACCAUGGAGUGGAGUCUGCGGCUUAAUUUGACAACACUGGGAAACUCAUCAGGGCAAGAAGAUUUUAGGAUUGACAGAUUGAGAGUUCUUUCUUGAUUGGUCUAGUGGUGGUGCAUGGCCGUUCUUAGUUGGUGGAGUGAUUUGUCUGGUUAAUUCCGUUAACGAACGAGACCUUAACCUGCUAACUAGUACACCGAUGACAAAUCGGUGUUACUUCUUAGAGGGACUAUGUGAUGUAAUCACAUGGAAGUUUGAGGCAAUAACAGGUCUGUGAUGCCCUUAGAUGUCCUGAGCUGCACGCGUACUACAAUGGUGCUUUCAACGAGCUUUUCCUGAUCCGAAAGGAUUUGGGUAAUCUUUUUAGUGAGCACCGUGCUUGGGAUUGAUCUUUGUAAUUAUGGAUCAUGAACUAGGAAUUCCUAGUAAGCGCUGGUCAUCAGCCAGUGCUGAUUAC